GAUAAGCCUCUUGGGGCUAAAUCUAAAUAAGAGCGUUCAUAGGGAGUGUUUCACAUCGGAUCUACAAAUAAGGUAACAUCCAAACAUAGGACUUGGAUCAGCACUUGGUAGAUCCUCUCAGAAAACUUUACAUUUAUGGAUAUUUAAUGGAUUUUUGUGGACUUUUGGAAUUUGGACUUUACCUUUAUUUUGGUUGAAAUUGAUAUUUUAUGACUUUAUAACUAA
Long non-coding RNA from Gossypium arboreum, 225 nucleotides. RefSeq lists it as uncharacterized. NCBI's taxonomy places the organism in Eukaryota, Viridiplantae, Streptophyta, Magnoliopsida, Malvales, Malvaceae. The transcript is spliced from 2 exons. The record is from RefSeq and is a predicted model, not a curated record.